UACGUAGGGUGCGAGCGUUAAUCGGAAUUACUGGGCGUAAAGUGUGCGCAGGUGGCUGAGCAAGUCGAGUGUGAAAUCCCCGGGCUUAACUUGGGAAUUGCGCUCGAAACUACUUGGCUCGAGUGUGGCAGAGGAAGGUGGAAUUCCAGGUGUAGCGGUGAAAUGCGUAGAGAUCUGGAGGAACACCGAUGGCGAAGGCAGCCCCCUGGGACCUGACUGACGCUCAUGUACGAAAGCGUGGGGAGCAAACAGG
RNAcentral lists this ribosomal RNA (253 nucleotides) under uncultured bacterium. Its description in RNAcentral is "partial 16S ribosomal RNA". It matches the Rfam family "Bacterial small subunit ribosomal RNA", at positions 524 to 776 of the family's 1533-position model. The record is from RNAcentral.